Molecule: ribosomal RNA, 419 nt
Filed under: uncultured bacterium
Lineage: Bacteria
Description: partial 16S ribosomal RNA
Rfam family: Bacterial small subunit ribosomal RNA
Source: RNAcentral
AAUAUUGGUCAAUGGACGCAAGUCUGAACCAGCCAGGUCGCGUGAAGGAAGAGGGCCAUACGGGUUGUCAACUUCUUUUGUAAGGGACUAAAGUGAGUCACGUGUGACUUUUUGCAUGUACCUUACGAAUAAGGAUCGGCUAACCCCUUGCCAGCCGCCGCGGUAAUAAGGAGGAUCCGAGCGUUAUCCGGAUUUAUCGGGUUUAAAGGGUGCGCAGGCGGGAGAUUAAGUCGGCGGUGAAAUUUUGCAGCUCAACUGUAAAAGUGCCUUCGAAACUGGUUUCCUUGAGUGUAGAUGAAGUAGGCGGAAUUUGUGGUGUAGCGGUGAAAUGCAUAGAUAUCACGAGGAACUCCGAUUGCGCAGGCAGCUUACUAAGCUACUACUGACGCUCAGGCACGAAGGCGUGGGGAUCAAACAGG